This 254-nucleotide ribosomal RNA is filed under the name uncultured bacterium. RNAcentral describes it as "partial 16S ribosomal RNA". It matches the Rfam family "Bacterial small subunit ribosomal RNA", at positions 524 to 776 of the family's 1533-position model. The record is from RNAcentral.
GACGAACCGUGCGAACGUUAUUCGGAAUCACUGGGCUUAAAGCGCGUGUAGGCGGGGUGGCACGUCGGUCGCUGAAAGCCCCCGGCUCAACCGGGGAAGGGGCGCCGAUACGACCACCCUGGAGGGACGUAGGGGGACCUGGAACUUCCGGUGGAGCGGUGAAAUGCGUUGAGAUCGGAAAGAACACCAACGGCGAAAGCACUCUGCUGGGCCGACACUGACACUGAGAGACGAAAGCUAGGGGAGCGAAUGGG